AGAGUUUGAUCAUGGCUCAGGACGAACGCUGACGGUGUGCUUUAGACAUGCAAGUCGAACGAGAAAGCCCUUCGGGGUGAGUACAGUGGCGAACGGGUGAGUAACACGUGGGCAAUCUGCCCCUCGCAGGGGGAUAACCGGGGGAAACCCCGGCUAAUACCCCGUACGCUUGCGGAGUCGCAUGGCUCCGUAAGGAAAGGUAGCUUCGGCCAUCCGGCGAGGGAUGAGCCCGCGGUACAUUAGCUAGUUGGUGGGGUAACGGCCUACCAAGGCGACGAUGUAUAGCUGGUCUGAGAGGAUGAUCAGCCACAUUGGGACUGAGACACGGUCCAGACUCCUACGGGAGGCAGCAGUGAGGAAUCUUCCACAAUGGGGGAAACCCUGAUGGAGCAACUCCGCGUGCAGGAUGAAGGCCCUCGGGUCGUAAACUGCUUUUAUGAGUGAAGAAUAUGACGGUAACUCAUGAAUAAGGGUCGGCUAACUACGUGCCAGCAGCCGCGGUCAUACGUAGGACCCAAGCGUUAUCCGGAGUGACUGGGCGUAAAGAGUUGCGUAGGUGGCUUGUAAAGUGAAUAGUGAAACCUGGUGGCUCAACCAUACAGACUAUUAUUCAAACUCACAAGCUCGAGAAUGGUAGAGGUAACUGGAAUUUCUAGUGUAGGAGUGAAAUCCGUAGAUAUUAGAAGGAACACCAAUGGCGUAGGCAGGUUACUGGACCAUUUCUGACACUGAGGCACGAGAGCGUGGGGAGCGAACCGGAUUAGAUACCCCGGUAGUCC
Molecule: ribosomal RNA, 779 nt
Filed under: uncultured soil bacterium
Lineage: Bacteria
Description: bacterial SSU rRNA
Rfam family: Bacterial small subunit ribosomal RNA
Source: RNAcentral